AAGUCGUAACAAGGUAUCCGUAGGUGAACCUGCGGAUGGAUCAUUAGAAAGUGCGAGGUGCUUCGGCACCGACCACCCACUCUGUGCACUGUAACGUACCCUGCGGUCGGGGCUUCGGCCCGGGCCGCGCUGGGCAGUUCCUCACGGGACGGCCCGAACAAACACAUCAACCAACGUCUGAAGCUAAAGAAACAAUGUUAAACAACUUUUGACAACGGAUCUCUUGGCUCUC
This 232-nucleotide unclassified non-coding RNA is filed under the name fungal sp. Its description in RNAcentral is "partial internal transcribed spacer region". The stretch from base 1 to 46 matches the Rfam family "Eukaryotic small subunit ribosomal RNA", at positions 1786 to 1831 of the family's 1831-position model. Lineage: Eukaryota; Fungi. The record is from RNAcentral.